UACGGGGGGAGCAAGCGUUGUUCGGAUUUACUGGGCGUAAAGGGCACGUAGGCGGUCGUGACAAGUCACUUGUGAAAUCUCCGGGCUUAACUCGGAACGGUCAAGUGAUACUGUCGGACUAGAGUACAGAAGGGGCAACUGGAAUUCUCGGUGUAGCGGUGAAAUGCGUAGAUAUCGAGAGGAACACCUGCGGCGAAGGCGGGUUGCUGGGCUGAUACUGACGCUGAGGCGCGAAAGCCAGGGGAGCGAACGGG
Molecule: ribosomal RNA, 254 nt
Filed under: uncultured bacterium
Lineage: Bacteria
Description: partial 16S ribosomal RNA
Rfam family: Bacterial small subunit ribosomal RNA
Source: RNAcentral